GACGAAGGGGGCUAGCGUUGUUCGGAAUUACUGGGCAUAAAGCGCGUGUAGGCGGUUGUUCAAGUCAGGUGUGAAAGCCUUGAGCUCAACUCAAGAAAUGCACUUGAUACUGGAUGACUAGAGGACCGGAGAGGAUAGUGGAAUUCCCAGUGUAGUGGUGAAAUACGUAGAGAUUGGGAAGAACACCAGUGGCGAAGGCGGCUAUCUGGACGGUUUCUGACGCUAAGACGCGAAAGCGUGGGGAGCAAAC
RNAcentral lists this ribosomal RNA (250 nucleotides) under uncultured bacterium. RNAcentral's name for it is "partial 16S ribosomal RNA". It matches the Rfam family "Bacterial small subunit ribosomal RNA", at positions 524 to 773 of the family's 1533-position model. The record is from RNAcentral.